RNAcentral lists this small RNA (133 nucleotides) under Salmonella enterica. RNAcentral's name for it is "RtT RNA". It matches the Rfam family "RtT RNA". From Rfam's summary of the family: This family represents a bacterial cis-regulatory element known as RtT RNA. The exact function of RtT is unknown although it is thought that it may be involved in changing the cellular response in relation to amino acid starvation. The record is from RNAcentral. Lineage: Bacteria; Pseudomonadati; Pseudomonadota; Gammaproteobacteria; Enterobacterales; Enterobacteriaceae. RNAcentral also lists the same sequence under 1 other name.
UGUAUCUGAAGUCUGACGAGGAUGAGAACCUCCGGGGGCAAGAGGUUCGACUCGAGCGAAGCGAGAGAACGUUGCGUCAGCAACGGCCCGCAGGGCGAGCCACGCAGUGGCGAGUCAUCCUCUAUCACCGGCA